This 440-nucleotide ribosomal RNA is filed under the name uncultured bacterium. Its description in RNAcentral is "partial 16S ribosomal RNA". It matches the Rfam family "Bacterial small subunit ribosomal RNA", at positions 338 to 795 of the family's 1533-position model. The record is from RNAcentral.
CCUACGGGGUGCAGCAGUAGGGAAUCUUCGGCAAUGGUCGAAAGUCUGACCGAGCAACGCCGCGUGAGUGAAGAAGGUUUUCGGUACGUAAAGCCCUAUCAGCAGGAAAGAAAAUGACGGUACCUGACUAAGAAGCCCCGGCUAACUACGUGCCAGCAGCCGCGGUAAUACGUAGGGGGCAAGCGUUAUCCGGAUUUACUGGGUGUAAAGGGAGCGUAGACGGCAGUGCAAGUCCGGAGUGAAAGCCCGGGGCUCAACCCUGGGACUGCUCUGGAAACUGUAAAGCUGGAGUGCGGGAGGGGCAGGCGGAAGUCCUGGUGUAGCGGUGAAAUGCGUAGAUAUCAGGAGGAACACCGGCGGCGAAGGCGGCCUGCUGGACCGUAACUGACGUUGAGGCUCGAAAGCGUGGGGAGCAAACAGGAUUAGAUACCCGAGUAGUC